RNAcentral lists this ribosomal RNA (460 nucleotides) under uncultured bacterium. Its description in RNAcentral is "partial 16S ribosomal RNA". It matches the Rfam family "Bacterial small subunit ribosomal RNA", at positions 338 to 795 of the family's 1533-position model. The record is from RNAcentral.
CCUACGGGUGGCAGCAGUGAGGAAUAUUGGUCAAUGGACGGAAGUCUGAACCAGCCAUGCCGCGUGCAGGAUGACGGUUCUAUGAGUUGUAAACUGCUUUUGUACAAGGGUAAACCUGAAUACGUGUACUCAGCUGAAUGUACUGUACGAAUAAGGAUCGGCUAACUCCGUGCCAGCAGCCGCGGUAAUACGGAGGAUCCAAGCGUUAUCCGGAUUUAUUGGGUUUAAAGGGUGCGUAGGCGGAAUGUUAAGUUAGAGGUGAAAUGUCCGAGCUUAACUCGGGAACUGCCUUUAAUACUGUUGAUCUGGAGAGUGGAUGAGGAAGGCGGAAUGUAUGGUGUAGCGGUGAAAUGCUUAGAGAUCAUACAGAACACCGAUUGCGAAGGCAACUUACCAAUCUAUAACUGACGUUGAGGCACGAAAGCGUGGGGAGCAAACAGGAUUAGAUACCCGAGUAGUC